RNAcentral lists this ribosomal RNA (32 nucleotides) under Fusarium oxysporum. RNAcentral describes it as "partial 18S ribosomal RNA". RNAcentral also lists the same sequence under 3 other names. Lineage: Eukaryota; Fungi; Ascomycota; Sordariomycetes; Hypocreales; Nectriaceae. The record is from RNAcentral.
UCCGUAGGGGUGAACCUGCGGAGGGAUCAUUA